UACGGAGGGUGCGAGCGUUGUCCGGAAUCAUUGGGCGUAAAGGGCGCGUAGGUGGCCCGGUCAGUUCGUGGUGAAAGCGCGGGGCUCAACCCUGCGUCGGCCAUGAAUACUGCCGCGGCUGGAGCACUGUAGAGGCAGGCGGAAUUCCGGGUGUAGCGGUGGAAUGCGUUGAGAUCCGGAAGAACACCGGUGGCGAAGGCGGCCUGCUGGGCAGUUGCUGACACUGAGGCGCGACAGCGUGGGGAGCAAACAGG
This 254-nucleotide ribosomal RNA is filed under the name uncultured bacterium. RNAcentral describes it as "partial 16S ribosomal RNA". It matches the Rfam family "Bacterial small subunit ribosomal RNA", at positions 524 to 776 of the family's 1533-position model. The record is from RNAcentral.